This is a long non-coding RNA of Sceloporus undulatus (fence lizard), 719 nucleotides long. RefSeq lists it as uncharacterized. Lineage: Eukaryota; Metazoa; Chordata; Lepidosauria; Squamata; Phrynosomatidae. The record is from RefSeq and is a predicted model, not a curated record. The transcript has 5 exons.
GGAGGGCCCCCCCCCCCCCCCAAUUUGCCCAGUUCCUUCCAGAGCAAUGCCGCCAGUGUGAAUGAGGCCCUAGAAAGGCUAGGUUGGCCCCUUUGAUGCUGUCCUCCUAAGCAGCAGUUGCUUUUGAAAUGCCCCAGUAUCACUUCUGUCUUCCCACAUCUCUGUUUUGCCCUCAAGCUUGCUCCAACUACUGCAAACUCAGUUCAAAGCGCAAAAGUGAUUGAAUUACAAGCUUGGCAGAUGAACGGAAUGCUGUGGAUGUAGUGUAUCUUGAUUUCAAUAAGGCCUUUGGUGCCACCAGCCAAUGGUUCAGGGAUGAGCACUGGUACAGAGACUACUACUUUGAGGAGUCCUUUCUAAGAGGAUGAUUGAACAGUAUGUGUUGUGGACUUUCAGCAAUGGAGAAAACAUCACACAAGAGAUACUGGAGCUUCAAAUUCAUGGUGGGGAUUAAAAUUGGCAGAAUCCUUCACAAAGCCCAAAAAGGAGCCUCACUGCAGAAACGAGAGAACAUGGACGCAGUCUGUUUGCAUGUCCUGCUAUGGACCACCUGUGUCCCCGACUCCAUGCACAGCAUGUGCUGGUAACCUCAACGCUGGAGUUUUGCAAUGAGAAAUAGAUUGGGCUACCUCUGUACCAAAUUCAGAAACUUUGGCUAGUUCAGAACAUGGCAUCCAGAUCGAUCCAAGAGUGAUCACUUUACACCAAUAUUAAAAUCA